This is a long non-coding RNA of Oncorhynchus tshawytscha (Chinook salmon), 559 nucleotides long. NCBI's taxonomy places the organism in Eukaryota, Metazoa, Chordata, Actinopteri, Salmoniformes, Salmonidae. The record is from Ensembl.
CACUGUACUGACCUGUCACACACUGAAGGUCUAUAGGUUCACCACUGUACUAACCUGUCACACACUGAAGUCCUAUAGGUUCACCACUGUACUAACCUGUCACACACUGAAGACCUAUAGGUUCACCACUGUACUAACCUGUCACACACUGAAGACCUAUAGGUUCACCACUGUACUAACCUGUCACACACUGAAGGCCUAUAGGUUCACCACUGUACUAACCUGUCACACACUGAAGGUCUAUAGGUUCACCACUGUACUAACCUGUCACACACUGAAGGCCUAUAGGUUCACCACUGAAGACCUAUAGGUUCACCACUGUACUAACCUGUCACACACUGAAGGCCUAUAGGUUCACCACUGUACUAACCUGUCACACACUGAAGACCUAUAGGUUCACCACUGUACUAACCUGUCACACACUGAAGUCCUAUAGGUUCACCACUGUACUAACCUGUCACACACUGAAGGCCUAUAGGUUCACCACUGUACUAACCUGUCACACACUGAAGGUCUAUAGGUUCACCACUGUACUAACCUGUCACACACUGAAGACCUA